Molecule: ribosomal RNA, 263 nt
Filed under: uncultured bacterium
Lineage: Bacteria
Description: partial 16S ribosomal RNA
Rfam family: Bacterial small subunit ribosomal RNA
Source: RNAcentral
CGACCGGCGCACGGGUGAGUAACACGUAUCCAACCUGCCGUCUACUCUUGGACAGCCUUCUGAAAGGAAGAUUAAUACAAGAUGGCAUCAUGAGUCCGCAUGUUCACAUGAUUAAAGGUAUUCCGGUAGACGAUGGGGAUGCGUUCCAUUAGAUAGUAGGCGGGGUAACGGCCCACCUAGUCUUCGAUGGGUAGGGGUUCUGAGAGGAAGGUCCCCCACAUUGGAACUGAGACACGGUCCAAACUCCUACGGGAGGCAGCAUG